UACGUAGGGGCAAGCGUUAUCCGGAUUUACUGGGUGUAAAGGGAGCGCAGACGGAACUGCAAGUCUGAUGUGAAAGCCCGGGGCUCAACCGCGGGACUGCAUCGGAUACUGUGGAUCUGGAGUGCCGGAGGGGCAAGCGGAAUUCCUAGUGUAGCGGUGAAAUGCAUAGAUAUCACGAGGAACUCCGAUUGCGCAGGCAGCUUACUAAACCAUAACUGACGCUCAGGCACGAAGGCGUGGGGAUCAAACAGGAUUAGA
This 258-nucleotide ribosomal RNA is filed under the name uncultured prokaryote. RNAcentral describes it as "partial 16S ribosomal RNA". It matches the Rfam family "Bacterial small subunit ribosomal RNA", at positions 524 to 782 of the family's 1533-position model. The record is from RNAcentral.